UCCCUGAGUACUUGGACCCAGGAAAGAAGCAUGAAGUGGCUUGUGCUCCUCGGGCUGGUGGCCCUCUCAGAGUGCGUAGUCAUUUUGCCUCUAAAGAAAAUGAAGACCUUGCGAGAAACCCUGAGGGAAAAAAACUUGCUGAACAAUUUCCUGGAGGAACAAGCUUACAGACUGUCCAAGAAUGACUCCAAAAUAACUAUUCACCCACUGAGGAACUAUCUGGAUAUUGCCUACGUGGGUAACAUCACCAUUGGAACACCCCCUCAGGAGUUCCGGGUCGUCUUUGACACAGGCUCAGCUAACUUGUGGGUGCCUUGCAUCACCUGUACCAGUCCAGCCUGUUAUACACACAAAACCUUCAAUCCUCAAAAUUCUUCAAGCUUCCGGGAAGCAGGCUCGCCUAUCACCAUCUUCUAUGGAUCUGGGACAAUUCAGGGAUUUCUUGGCUCUGACACCGUUCGGAUCGGGAACCUUGUUAGCCUUAAACAGUCGUUUGGCCUAAGCCAGGAGGAAUACGGGUUUGAUGGUGCACCCUUUGAUGGCGUCCUGGGCUUGGCCUUCCCCUGCAUCAGCACCAAAGGUGCCACCCCAUCUUUGACAACUUGUGGUCGCGAGGUGCCUUUUCUGAGCCUGUCUUUGCCUUCUACUUGAGCAAAUACAAGCCGGAGGGCAGUGUGGUGAUGUUUGGUGGGGUGGACCACCGCUACUACAAGGGAGAGCUCAACUGGAUACCAGUGUCCCAACCUCGCCACUGGCUGAUAAGCAUGAACCACAUCAGCAUGAAUGGGAAUAUUGUUGCUUGUUCUCAUGGAUGUCAAGCCUUUGUGGACACCGGGACAUCAUUGAUCUACGGCCCAACAGACCUAGUCACCAACAUCAACAAGCUCAUGAAUGCCAGGCUUGAGAAUUCUGAGUAUGCAGUUUUAUGUGAUGCCGUCAAGACCCUGCCUCCUGUCAUCUUCAACAUCAAUGGCAUCGACUAUCCACUGCCCCCUCAAGCCUACAUCACCAAGGAUAAAAACUCCUGCAUUAGCAUCUUUCAAGGGGGCCUAGAAAAUCUCUCUCCAGACAACUGGCUCUUGGGUGACGUCUUUCUGAGGCAGUACUUCUCAGUUUUUGAUCGAAAAAAUGAAAGGAUUGGCCUGGCUCCGGCAGUGUAA
RNAcentral lists this unclassified non-coding RNA (1160 nucleotides) under Bos taurus (domestic cattle). Its description in RNAcentral is "pepsinogen-like". Lineage: Eukaryota; Metazoa; Chordata; Mammalia; Artiodactyla; Bovidae. The record is from RNAcentral.